Long non-coding RNA from Symphalangus syndactylus (siamang), 227 nucleotides. RefSeq lists it as uncharacterized. Lineage: Eukaryota; Metazoa; Chordata; Mammalia; Primates; Hylobatidae. The record is from RefSeq and is a predicted model, not a curated record.
UCUAUAAUUGUUUUCUGCUUGCUUUAAAGAAGAUUCAGUUGGAAUAAGAAGUAACCUAAUAAAGAACUCUAGCAAGCUCUGGAGGAACAGGACCUCAGACAGCAGCUGUAUGCCACUGGAGGGCAGAAGGAGAAGUGAAAAUAUUUUCAACUGAGAAGCCGACAUCUAAAUCUGAAUCCCCUAGUGACUGUAAGGAGUGUGCCAAAUGAUUUCCAGGCCUCACUCUA